AGUCACUGACAUUAGAUACCCGCGUAGUCCCAGCCGUAAACAAUGUGCGUUAGGUGUGUCGGUAACCACGUGUUACUGAUGCGCCGAAGAGAAAUCGUGAAACGCACCGCCUGGGAAGUACGGUCGCAAGGCUGAAACUUAAAGGAAUUGGCGGGGAGCACCACAACAGGUGGAGCCUGCGGUUUAAUUGGAUUCAACGCCGGACAUCUCACCGGAUAAGACAGCUGAAUGAUUGUCAAUCUGAAGGUUUUACAUGACUAGCUG
Molecule: ribosomal RNA, 264 nt
Filed under: uncultured archaeon
Lineage: Archaea
Description: partial 16S ribosomal RNA
Rfam family: Archaeal small subunit ribosomal RNA
Source: RNAcentral